UACGAAGGGGGCUAGCGUUGCUCGGAAUCACUGGGCGUAAAGGGUGCGUAGGUGGUGAGGUAAGUCGGAUGUGAAAUCUCCGAGCUCAACUCGGAAAUGGCAUUGGAAACUACCUUGCUCGAGGGUUGGAGGGGGGACUGGAAUACUUGGUGUAGCAGUGAAAUGCGUAGAUAUCAAGUGGAACACCAGUGGCGAAGGCGAGUCCCUGGACAACUCCUGACACUGAGGCACGAAAGCUAGGGGAGCAAACAGG
RNAcentral lists this ribosomal RNA (253 nucleotides) under uncultured bacterium. RNAcentral's name for it is "partial 16S ribosomal RNA". It matches the Rfam family "Bacterial small subunit ribosomal RNA", at positions 524 to 776 of the family's 1533-position model. The record is from RNAcentral.